GUUAUCUUCAAACUCUCCAAACUGAGCUUGGAAUUUGCUCAGGCAUUAUAGAGUUUUGAUAUAUAAGAGAAGGACAGCUAAUGACCCUGUAAAUUCCUAAUAACAUUGUGGCCACUCUUGCAGCUUGCAUAUAACAAAAUGAAACUUGGCAUAAAGAUGUACAUCAGCAAAUGUCCACACAAGUAUUUAUCAACCUGCUGUUUGAAAUAACGUCUGAAUUACAGAAGACUUAUUUAGGAAGAAUUUGGUGUUUUAUCAUCGUCUGUCCUCUGAA
RNAcentral lists this long non-coding RNA (274 nucleotides) under Bos taurus (domestic cattle). RNAcentral describes it as "long non-coding RNA NONBTAT013953". Lineage: Eukaryota; Metazoa; Chordata; Mammalia; Artiodactyla; Bovidae. The record is from RNAcentral.